This 780-nucleotide ribosomal RNA is filed under the name uncultured bacterium. Its description in RNAcentral is "bacterial SSU rRNA". It matches the Rfam family "Bacterial small subunit ribosomal RNA", at positions 56 to 816 of the family's 1533-position model. The record is from RNAcentral.
UGCAGUCGAACGAGUUGUUUAUAGUAGCAAUAUUGUAAACGGCAAGUGGCGAACGGGUGAGUAACACGUAGAUAAUCUGCCUUUCAGACGGGGAUAACUCAGGGAAACUUGUGCUAAUACCCGAUGAGACUACGGGAGGGGACUUCUGUAGCCAAAGGUGGGGGCAACCUCGCGCUGAAAGAUGAGUCUGCGUCCUAUCAGCUAGUUGGUGGGGUAAAAGCCUACCAAGGCGAAGACGGGUAGCCGGCCUGAGAGGGUGAACGGCCACACUGGGACUGAGACACGGCCCAGACUCCUACGGGAGGCAGCAGUGAGGAAUUUUCCGCAAUGGGCGCAAGCCUGACGGAGCGACGCCGCGUGAGGGAUGACGGCCUUCGGGUUGUAAACCUCUUUUAUUAAGGAAAAAGGCAAUCGUGCUAAUACCACGGUUGUUUGAUGGUACUUAUUGAAUAAGCCCCGGCUAACUACGUGCCAGCAGCCGCGGUAAUACGUAGGGGGCGAGCGUUGUCCGGAGUUACUGGGCGUAAAGAGCGUGUAGGCGGUUGGAAAAGUCAGGUGUGAAAUUCUUCGGCUCAACCGAGAGACUGCGCCUGAAACUUUCCGACUGGAGUUUGGGAGGGGCAACUGGAAUUCCUGGUGUAACGGUGAAAUGUGUAGAUAUCAGGAGGAACACCCGUGGCGAAGGCGGGUUGCUGGACCAAAACUGACGCUGAGACGCGAAAGCGUGGGUAGCAAACAGGAUUAGAUACCCUGGUAGUCCACGCUGUAAACGAUGAGUGC